GUGGCUGUAGCUCAGUUGGUAGAGCCUCGGAUUGUGAUUCCGGUUGUCGUGGGUUCGAGCCCCAUCAGCCACCCCA
This 76-nucleotide transfer RNA is filed under the name Neisseria lactamica. RNAcentral describes it as "tRNA-His(gtg)". It matches the Rfam family "tRNA". Rfam says of the family: Transfer RNA (tRNA) molecules are approximately 80 nucleotides in length. Their secondary structure includes four short double-helical elements and three loops (D, anti-codon, and T loops). Lineage: Bacteria; Pseudomonadati; Pseudomonadota; Betaproteobacteria; Neisseriales; Neisseriaceae. RNAcentral also lists the same sequence under 1 other name. The record is from RNAcentral.